Long non-coding RNA from Coturnix japonica (Japanese quail), 2076 nucleotides. NCBI's taxonomy places the organism in Eukaryota, Metazoa, Chordata, Aves, Galliformes, Phasianidae. The record is from Ensembl.
AUUUAUUUAUUUUUCCUAUUAAAGGGGGAAGAGCUGUGUUUUAUUCCUUUGCAAUCUUUCAUGAACUACUGCUCUUCAGGAACAGAGAUCGCUUGUGCAAGAGGGAGAGCAAUUGCUUAUUGGUGUAAUUGUAGCAGUUGAAGACAGCAUAAAGGGCAGGUAACUGACAGCAUCUGUCUGAAAGAUAUUCAGAGUCUCUCCUGCUUCAUUGGGAGUGUUUGUACAAGUUGUCAGAUACUUGUCCUAAGGUGAGUGAAAAUACACAACUGGAGCAAAAGUUCAGAACAUGAGUAAUUAACGAAGUCCCUUUUAUCACUCUUUUCACUUUAUCUCUCUUCUGUUUCAGUGGUGUUUGUUUCACUUCCAUAAAGAAGACAACAGCUCUGGACUCUGAUAAAACAAAGCUUGGCAGAGUCCCAGGCACGGUAUCUUGUUCUGGCACUACACUCAGCUUGAUCUUCUCAUUUACCUCACAGGUAUUCAGCAGGACUGCUUCAUCACAUUGUGUUAUGAGUGUUCAACAAGCGUGCUCGAGGAAAGCCUAUGUCACUUGUAGAUGUAUCCUGACACCAAGUGAAUCACGCUGCUUCACACUGCACUGAAUCAUUGGCAUUCAGUCUUCAAAAGCCAGGAGUGUACAUCUUUGGGAGACGAAGCUGCAAAAGAAUUUUGAAUAGUUUGAACCUGGGGGUGCUUCUGGCUCAGCUAGUAUCAAUGACAUGUUGGCUUUGGAAAAUGACAAACUCCUCAGUCUGGUGCUGGAAGAAUUAGAAGGGUUUGAAACGUGGGAAAAUAAUGGAGAAACAGCUUUGAAAUGGUUAUUCAUCUCCUUCAAAUACACCCACUGGACAACUGGGACAGAUACAAGCUUCAAAGGAAGGUACCUCCCACUGAGCCCAGAAAACUUCAGUGACAUCUGGGAGAGAAGUGAUGAAACUGUACCUGGACAACUACAUUAAUACGUAACUUGUUGGCAGCAUGGGCUGUGUUAUGUGCGGUCUGCCUGUUCCUGCUUUACCCAGAGAGCACCAACAGUAAGCUGGACCAUCCUCAGCUGGCUGCAGAAUUCAGGUUGCGAGAGCUGCCCUGUGGCAAGUGAACUGCAAUGUGAGUGAGCUUCUUGAGUGCUGUCCUUACCUGGGUGUAAAUGUGUCUUGUGUGGCAUUACAGUCCCACUUUCUUUCACUUCUUCUAUUCCUGUUGGGACCAUGCCACUGUGCAAGAAGUGUGACAGUUCUGUUGGGAGCUGAGCUCCAGUUUUGUCCAAACAAUCAAAUACAGAGGCUAACCUCGCUUGAUGUGAGAAAGAAAGAUUCUUUGAAUGGCAGGAGAUGUGAGGUGGCUGUACAGAAGUCUGUACAUAUGUGAGGCACUGCACAUGCAGUCUGCAGAUGAUGAUGUGAGUGAAGGCUUCCCCUUUACGGAGCUGAGGUGUUUGCAAAACCACAUGAAGGGGUGGCUGGAUAAGCUCUUUCAUAUUGCCCACGACUGUGCGUAUUCAUCCACCUACUCAGUCAACAUUUUAUGAGGGAUAAUCUAUAAUGGUUAAUUAACAGACUAUAUACUGUUUCCCCAGACCAUCAUUUUUUCUUGCCUUGCAUACUGUAUAAAAGGUAGAAGGGAAAUUCUGCCAAAUGACGGCAUAUCCUCUUUUGCAACAAAUGGAGAAGCAUGCUGGGUGUGAGGCCUCCUAACUGGACAUGCAGGUGCUUCAUUUCAUCUGCACCUGAAUUUGGAAGCAUUGGAGUUCCAGCUGCUCACCUUUCAUUUCAAGGUUUCUGAAUUGCUUUAAUGAAAAAUGAUUUGAUUUUAAAGAUGAAAGGUCAGACUGUGCCAUCAGUUUAAUUGGAUUUGGCCGUGGCCACUUUGACGUUCAUUUGUGAUAGGAAAAACAGACUUAAGGGAUUUCAAUCACUCUUAAACUCAUAAACGGAGGGAAAAUGUUUCCUGCCAUCGGUCAAUGAAAAUUGGUGAGGAUCAUGGCCCGAGGCACAGCUAUGAGGUAAACAACCCCAAAACCUCUCUCUUGGAAAGGAAAAAAAAAGUAAUAAAAACAUAUCUGUUGUGUGAAAUUCA